Molecule: transfer RNA, 359 nt
Filed under: uncultured Microcystis sp.
Lineage: Bacteria; Bacillati; Cyanobacteriota; Cyanophyceae; Chroococcales; Microcystaceae
Description: partial 16S-23S ribosomal RNA intergenic spacer
Rfam family: tRNA (bases 134-207)
Source: RNAcentral
AAAGGGAGACCUAAUUCGGGUAGGAGACGAAAAAAAAGUAGUCCCUACCAAGAAUCAAUCCCAAAAGGUCGGAACGAGGUAUGUGGCUUUCAAACUAGGUUCUGGGUUCACAAAAGACCUGAAUCAGGAACAAGGGCUAUUAGCUCAGGUGGUUAGAGCGCACCCCUGAUAAGGGUGAGGUCCCUGGUUCGAGUCCAGGAUGGCCCACCUGCACAGGUGGCAAAAACAAGAGAAACGAGGAAUCAGCACCUUAUCUUACUUACAUAGUAAGAGAGAAUGCUGGCUCUGAGUAAAGAGUCCAGAAGAACCUUGAAAACUGCAUAGAGCUAGGUGAAAAAGCCAAAAAAGAAGACCGCAAG